GUCUUCUUGUUAUAUUUAGGAAGUCUGGCCUGCCCAGUGAAAAUAAUUUAACGGCCGCGGUAUACUGACCGUGCAAAGGUAGCAUAAUCAUUAGUCUUUUAAUAGAGGGCUGGUAUGAAGGGUUUAACGAGGUGUUGACUGUCUCAUUUAAUUUGAAUUUAGAACUUAAUUUUUUAGUUAAAAAGCUAAAAUUUUAUUGGAAGACGAGAAGACCCUAUAGAGCUUUAUAUUUUUACUAUUAAUUUAUUAUAGAUUAUUAUUAUUUAUUAUUGGUAUAAAAUAUUUUGUUGGGGUGACAAAAAUAUAUAAAUAACUUUUUUAUUUCAUUUACAUUGCUAUAUGAAUAUUAGAUCCAAUCUUAUUGAUUGUUAGAUUAAGUUACCUUAGGGAUAACAGCGUAAUCCCUCUUCAGAGUUCAUAUUUACAGAGGGGCUUGCGACCUCGAUGUUGGAUUAAGAUAAUAAUUAGGUGUAGCCGCUUAAUUAAUAGGUCUGUUCGACCUUUAAAUUCUU
This 512-nucleotide ribosomal RNA is filed under the name Aeshna crenata. Its description in RNAcentral is "partial 16S rRNA". It matches the Rfam family "Bacterial large subunit ribosomal RNA", at positions 1830 to 2597 of the family's 2925-position model. The record is from RNAcentral. Lineage: Eukaryota; Metazoa; Arthropoda; Insecta; Odonata; Aeshnidae.